AUCUCAAAACUUCUGGCUAUCCGUUAUAGAUUGGAUUAAAAAUUAUGGCAUUCUCCUGCCUUUCAGUGCGAAAGAAGUCAUUUUAGGUGUCUGAGGAUUUUGUUAACAGUAAAACAGUUAAUAAUAUUUUGUUGUUGCUCACAUAUUAUAUAUACAAAUGUAGAUGUAAGAACAUAUCCCCCACAAAAUAUGGUGGGGUAAAAUAUUUAAAAUAUUAGAUAAAUAUAGAAAAGUACUCUGUAUGUUUCUUAACCCCUGUACAAAAAGUAAAAAUGGAUCAGAAAUGGCAUUUGUUAGAAGCAGCU
RNAcentral lists this long non-coding RNA (305 nucleotides) under Mytilus galloprovincialis (Mediterranean mussel). The record is from RNAcentral. Lineage: Eukaryota; Metazoa; Mollusca; Bivalvia; Mytilida; Mytilidae.